Molecule: ribosomal RNA, 253 nt
Filed under: uncultured bacterium
Lineage: Bacteria
Description: partial 16S ribosomal RNA
Rfam family: Bacterial small subunit ribosomal RNA
Source: RNAcentral
UACAGAGGGUGCGAGCGUUGUUCGGAUUCAUUGGGCGUAAAGGGUGCGUAGGUGGCGUCGUAAGUCGGGUGUGAAAUCUCGGAGCUUAACUCCGAAACUGCAUUCGAUACUGCCGUGCUUGAGGACUGGAGAGGAGACUGGAAUUUACGGUGUAGCGGUGAAAUGCGUAGAUAUCGUAAGGAAGACCAGUGGCGAAGGCGGGUCUCUGGACAGUUCCUGACGCUGAGGCACGAAGGUCAGGGGAGCAAACGGG